CGGCCGGGGAUUAGUGGCGAACGGGUGAGUAACACGUGGGCAAUCUGCCCUGCACUCUGGGACAAGCCCUGGAAACGGGGUCUAAUACCGGAUAUGACCACCGGCCGCAUGGUCUGGUGGUGGAAAGCUCCGGCGGUGCAGGAUGAGCCCGCGGCCUAUCAGCUUGUUGGUGGGGUGAUGGCCUACCAAGGCGACGACGGGUAGCCGGCCUGAGAGGGCGACCGGCCACACUGGGACUGAGACACGGCCCAGACUCCUACGGGAGGCAGCAGUGGGGAAUAUUGCACAAUGGGCGCAAGCCUGAUGCAGCGACGCCGCGUGAGGGAUGACGGCCUUCGGGUUGUAAACCUCUUUCAGCAGGGAAGAAGCGCGAGUGACGGUACCUGCAGAAGAAGCACCGGCUAACUACGUGCCAGCAGCCGCGGUAAUACGUAGGGUGCGAGCGUUGUCCGGAAUUAUUGGGCGUAAAGAGCUCGUAGGCGGCCUGUCGCGUCGGAUGUGAAAGCCCGGGGCUUAACCCCGGGUCUGCAUUCGAUACGGGCAGGCUAGAGUUCGGCAGGGGAGAUUGGAAUUCCUGGUGUAGCGGUGAAAUGCGCAGAUAUCAGGAGGAACACCGGUGGCGAAGGCGGAUCUCUGGGCCGAUACUGACGCUGAGGAGCGAAAGCGUGGGGAGCGAACAGGAUUAGAUACCCUGGUAGUCCACGCCGUAAACGUUGGGCACUAGGUGUGGGCGGCAUUCCACGUCGUCCGUGCCGCAGCUAACGCAUUAA
This 770-nucleotide ribosomal RNA is filed under the name Streptomyces cacaoi. Its description in RNAcentral is "bacterial SSU rRNA". It matches the Rfam family "Bacterial small subunit ribosomal RNA", at positions 82 to 863 of the family's 1533-position model. Lineage: Bacteria; Bacillati; Actinomycetota; Actinomycetes; Kitasatosporales; Streptomycetaceae. The record is from RNAcentral.